UUUCCUGACUGGUAGCCGGGUAAUUUAAAAGAUGGUAGAAAAUUAUUUUGGAGAGUUCUUUGUUCUCAGCUAGUGCUCUCAGGACUUGCCGUUCUUUUGGAACCUUUGGCUAAGUUUAUUUAUUUCUUUAUCUAUUUCGUUAGUCUGGGUUUUAGUAUGUCUAUUGAUUUUCAAGAUGUAGUUUCCUUUGUUUAGGAUUAGAUAUUCAGUCUUUUCAUGGACAUUAUCUUUUACUCGGCUUUACUAACGUUUGUUUUUUCUUUAAUAGUCAUUGUGGUCAAAGCACAUCCCUGGCUGCAAUGGAUGUCAGUCGUCGGGGGAAGCUGCUGGCUGGUUGAUAACAGGAAAGAAGGUGUUGAAAGGGUGGAGACAUUUUCAAGAACACCUGAAAGCUAGGCGGAUCCAGACCUACCAACUCUCAUACUGUCGACUGGAGACUCCUGACCGCAGUCCCUGAACUAUUGCCCCUGGGGGAGAGAAGAAAUUUCAGACCAGAAUAUCAUUAGGUUCAUGAAUUUAUUGGUUACGGUGUUAGAUUUUCAUUAGGGAUUUUCAAUAGGGAUUUCCUGGUUAACAACCGGAUAUACCAACUUACACAAGCAGGGCUAGACUUCAAAAGGGACAAGGGACCCGCAACUGAGAAAUAAAACAAGGCUUUUGAAAAAUUCUCCCAAUCAAUCAAAGGGGAGGGUACGCUGGCGACGGUAAUGCCUUAUCAAAGGAAUCUGUUGCUGGGGGAAGCAGGAAUUUAAUUGAAUUUAAAUGCAUUCAGCACAAAUUACUCCCUGGUUGCACGUGGCAGUCGGAAUAUAUAGCUCUUGAUUUACUGACGCUUUAAGCCUGAGUAAAUUGGAAGGAAGUUUAAUGUCUUCCCUUGUCGACUUGAGUAGCGCCUUACAGCUGGUUACUAUGCACAACCUAAUGAAUAACAGCAAUAUCAAUCUUGGAUCUAUAUUCACCUUUCAAAAAUAUCUCAUAUCUCUCCAAAGACAUUGACAGGAUUAGGUCUGGUAUACCACAAACACAAUUAUAUUGAUAUUGUGUGUAAUGAGCGUGGAAUGUUUCCAAUGAUUUCCCUGAUGUCUCUCUGUCUAUAAGUAUAUUUAUAUCCCUGUAUUAGAGGCCUAAACAGGAACUGAUGUCAAAGACUACUGAAAAUGAAUUGUUCCAACUGGCUGUGUGUCCCUCAUUGACCAGGAGUAGAUCCUCUCAUGCAAGGUUUCUAUCAGAUUUGGAAAACCAUCCUUAGCAAUGAAGGCUACUGGAUUCCAAUCUGUUCGAAAUGGAGCAAAGUACUGUAAUAAAGAAGACCCCAUCAUUUACAUUUGUCGAGAUUGAGUUUUACACCCCUAUAAAUCCCAGAUUAAGUAUUUAAAGCACUGUUACAGCAUUGGUGCAAUUGGAUAAAUCGUAAUCUUUGGCAUUAGGCAGUUUUCAUAGUGGAACACAGACUGUUUCAACUGGAUUAGAAAAUUAAAAUGGAAUUAACUUUCCAUGGAUUCAAUAUGCAAGUGCAAUGCAACAUUAAAUAUAACCAGGGAUUCUAUUUUCCAAUUCACCCGUCCGCAAAGCCUUGUAAAAACAAACAAACACACGAAAGCUGCAGUUGUAUGUGAGUCGUAGGCUGUAUUGUGAUUUUUAAUUGUAGAAGAGCUGAGAUUUGGGGAGUUAGAUAAAUUAUGUCAGUGGAGAACGAUGUUAAAAAAAAUCUUUGUUUGACAGGAGAGCAGUGGUGUCUGAUAAACGAUGUUGCUAACAUGCCAAUAGGGAAGCAGUUUAAGUAGGACGCAAAAAACAGUACUUUGAUGGAAGUUGGAAAAACUGCCCACUAUUUAAACUGUGGUCUGAAAAACUGAUGUAGCCUGCAAUGGAGAGGACACAGUAGGUUUUGAUUGCCAGUGCAUUAAACUUCAAUACACUACACUUCCACAAGCUUUGAGAUAUUUGGUCUUUUGCAAUGGUGAUGCCAAGAUAGUACAAUGUUCAAUGUGGUGCACCAUUACAGAAACCAAUUUUUGGGCAAAACAAGGACAAAUAUCUCCCCCAUGCCAGUAAUUCUGCAUUUGUUGUUAAAGAUUAAUAUUUGUGUACCACAGCACUGGAGAUGGAUUUCUCAUUUAAAUCCUUUUUAUUUUUUGUUAAUACUUUAUUUUCAUUCACCUGAAGCCUAAUUGCCACACUGCUACAAGUUGUUGAUGUAAGUACUUCCCUUAUUCACUUCCUGUCUUGGUUAUGUCACCUAAAUGUACUAGCUUUUAGUCCUGUAAACCAUUUAGCCUUGCUGAAUAUUCCAGCAACUGAUGGUGAACUGGUGACCAGCUAAAAUGGGGAACCACCACACACGUUUACUGGUUUCUUACUGUAUAAAGCCCUAGCCCAGGCUUACAGCAAUUAUAUUCAUUUAGGAGUGUACAGUCACUGAAAGGGGACCAAAAAUGUGUUCUUCUUGAACCAGUAAAUCCACUCUUUAAACAGUCUCAUGAAUCAGCUUGACCAUUUAAAAUCAGCAUGGCUACCAGCUCUGACCAGGUUAAAUCAGUGCCUGACAUUGCUGGAAUAACAGGUCUAUUGGCAAUUGCUAUUUAAGAAUGCCAAAGAGCUUGGUAGCCAAUACCUUGGUGGAAGUGAUAAUUACUGUAUGCAACACCACCCCAUGUAUUAUGUUGUCAGCUUUUGUGAGAGGAUAGGACACCAACCUAAAGUAGCCAGUGGAGGACAGUAGCGUACUGUUCUAAAGGAACAACAUUAUAUAAUGCUCCAUAUCUCUUUUCCUAAGGCCUGGGGACAUUUUCCUCUUACAUUUCAAGACAUGCCAAGUUGUUUGUAGAGGAGUGGGCUGUUUUGUAUCGCUCAGAAGCUGUUAAUGUACCAUUAUGUAACUAGGCAGUCACUUUCUUCUGUCCUCUUUCUCGGCUGGGGCGCUGGUUGUUCCAUUCUAGUAGUCUUCAUCCUAUAUUCUGCAGUUUUACCUUCCAUUUCCUCUACUUUAUCAGAUCAUUGGAUCGUUUCAUCUGAGAUUGUCAGUGGUGGGAGUUAUUUCUCUUUCAGAACACGUUUUUACUGUGUUUUAUUUUACAGCCCAUGAGAACUGAUGAUGGUUUUGAAGCAAAUAAGAAGAUAGAGAGCCUAAUACAGGCUCCUUAAAAAAAAAAACAGUUAGGAAAAGCCCAAGGAUUCUCCACUGUCUUUCCCCCCAGUGAGCACUAGUCCAAAUUUAAAAUAUAUUUUCACAUUUCUACAUACAGAAAGGUAAAACUCAGUCAAGUAGACAAACUUUUCAGCCAGUGCUUUCAUCAGUACUGACAGUACACAUUUCAGUCUUGUGAUUAAACUAAUUCACCCAUUCUUCGAAUCAAGUUGACUGCUAGGACACUGAUAUACAAGCCCACUUCCAAUCUUUAAUACCUCAGCAUAAGGGAGAAUUCAUAUUUCAUUACAGAAGCUUUAUUGGGAUUAGAGAGUGGAUUUCUGCUGCUUCCCCUCACCUUAACACUUCCCUGAAUCAGGUUCUUAAAAUCUGCAUAUGAGAAUGGGACAGGGUAGCAUCACUGGCAAGGCUGUUUCAGUCAGGGAGAGAGACUCAGACACAAGAAGCUGCAGUUAAGUGCUAUUGCACACGUUUAUUACAAACCAACAAACAAAAACACUAACACAUAAACAGGCACACGGGCCAAAACAAAGGGGUCACACAAAACACUACUGUACAUUUGUCCUACAGCGCAGCAACUGUUACAAGAUAUCACAUUAUUUUUACAUACAAUUACCCAUUUAUACGUUUUUUUUUUUUACUGGAGCAAUCUAGGUAAAGUAUCUUGCUCAAGGGUACAGCAGCAGUGUCCCCCACUGGGGACUGAACCCACGACCCUCCGGUCAAGAGUCCAGAGCCCUAACCACUACUCCCCACAAACCAAACCUUGCCAGUGUCUGCUUAAGCUUACUGUCUGCCUGGCCAGUAGGGUUCAUUCCCCUGACUGUCUAAUUCACCCUGCACACCACACAGUCAUGUGUAUAAAGGUGAGCCACCAUGGGUCCAGGGAUGCCAAUUUGUAUGGGCACAAUAAUAUCUUUAGUCUGCAUAGAGGAUUUUCCAGAAUUCUUCUUUCCUAACCUGGAACUCUGUGCUAUCACUCCUUAGAAUGCAAUAACUCUUUUGAAAGUUCUUGGCACCAAGGACAAUUGUUCUUGUCUGGAAUGAAUUAUAUUCUAUUAACCCUGUCUGACAUAGAUUCACCAUGAACUAUAGACCAUGACUCGCAUAGCUGUCAUUGUGAUAUCGAUUUUGCCCUUAGUUUAUGUGCUAUUGUUUGUAUUUUAACUUAAUAUAAAUUGAUGCUAUAAUUGAAACUAUAUACUGUUCCAAUAUGAAAAACUGCUGUAGUUAAAAGAUCUAGGAGAUUAUAUAGAUUUUAGCUUAUUGCCACCUUAACUUUCACAUGCUUUAGUUUUGGGGUUAGAGAAAGACCACAACGCAUGCCUGGGCAUUAAAAUAAAAAUGAAACAAUAUGAAAAUGUUACCGCAGUGUAGCAUUCUUCCGCUAGCUUCAUUGUAGCAGCCCUCAAUAUACAUCUAAUACAUUCCCUCUGUUGUGCCACAGCACCUCCAUUGAAGAUUACUCUGUAAAGAGUCCUUUUCAUGUUGCAUUUCCAUCUGCCACUGGGAUUGACUUGAAAGCAGUUUCAAAUCAGGCUUGUUCUUUUCCAUCAGUAGAGGUCAAAUCGAUUUUAAUUGGGACUAGUUAGGAUGCAGGCUAGCAGAGCACCAAUGCCAGAGAUGUGUUAUAUUGGACUGUAGAAAUAAAAAAAUGUAGGUAGACCAAGCUAUGAAUAUAUUAUACUGUCAGGGACUUAUUGGAGGUCAUUGAAUUGAUUUAUAGAUAGAAAUUAUAUGAAAACAUUGUACAUGCAGAUGAUCUUUGCCCAGUUGCAGAUUGGAUUAUACAGUAGACUGCAGAUGGAACCUACACAGCUCCAGUUCGACUGGUAUGAGAUGAGAUUAUGUUUUACAAACAUAAAGGUGGGAUCUCGAUUGCCUCUUGCAAUUGAAAAAAAAGAUGUGUUUGUUGCCUGCGAAAAUAUAUGUAUUUGUAUAAAAUAAUUAAACAUCCCUGUGUCAUUCACGGUAGAGUUUCAAUGUUGCUCUGACCGAAUAUAAUGUCGUUCUGGGUUCUCUCACGGUGAUGGAGAAUUCAGAUUUAAUUACAGAAGCUUUAUUGGGAUUAGAGAGCGGAUCUCUGCUGCUUCCCCUCACUUCAACACAUCUCUCCCACAACCAAAUGGGAAUUUCUAAUUAUUGGCAUCAUUAUAAAACCCUUAAUGCUGAAUCAAGUUCUUAAAAUCCCCAUCUGGGAGCAUAUCAGCAAUGCGUAGAAAACUAGAAUACAUCAUAUUUGGUCUUAAUAAGGAAAGAAAAAUGCAUUGCGAAAAAGUGUUUGCAUAAUAUCAGGACUUUUUUGCUACAUAAUUUUUGUCACUGCUCACAGUCUGGAGAAACUCGUUAAUUGCCUAAAAUAGAAAGAGUGGUAAGAUAUGCGGUGAAGAUAGAGUAAUAUGCCUGCAUCUUUUAGGCAGAGUGGUUCUGAGCCAGCUGCAUUUCAAUGUGUUUGCCGUGCCUGUUUUUCUAAAUAUCUUGAAUCGGAUAUAAAUUCCAUGUCCUGUUUGCUAACACGAUGCUUGAACUCUUGUCAUAGUACCCCAGCGCUCCAAAAGAUUUCCUUAGAACUGAACAAAAAAAAUAAAUAAAUCACUGUAAGUGAUGAAGCUGAAUGUUGUUAUACCCAUGCCAACAUGUAAUGAAAUGUGGAUUUAAAAUUCUCCUGUAAAACGUGAAACUCUCUUCAGAAUCUACAGUGUAAGACACAAAAUUUGAUAUUUGAAUGUAUGUUUAAAACUAUUAGGGUUCCCAUAUCUGCACUGAGGUUGACCUUUGUGUAGAGGGACAUAGGAAGUGAUUGAGAGAGAAACAUGAUACGUGUGUGAUUCUAAUAAGGAAAAGCAGCAGCUUCAUCCCUUUAGCAUACUUCCCCUGUAACAUCUGCUCUUUUGAAUAAAGCCACUGGAAUCCAAUCACAUUGUGUGCAUUCUAUUCAAGCCCUUACAUAGCAAAUUGACAAUAUUCUGCCAUCUGUAGCAAAUGCGUUCUGGCUGCAGAUUGUACUGUAAACAAUAUCACCUUACAGUGUUACAGAACACCCUGCAGUGUUUACAAGAAAAACUUAUGACCUGUUCACUGUAUUGCGGUGUUACAUUUUUUAACAUAAUCCUGAUUGUUUUGAUUUGGGUUUUUUUUUGGCUCAUUUAGGACAAGGAAAAAAAUAAAUAAAUAAAAAAUGUGUUAUAUCAAGAUCACAAGAAAGAAAUAUCUUGGGAUCUUGACAUUCCAAACUGUUAUGUUGAGAUCACAAGCUAAAUUAUCUUGUGGUAUUGAAAUAAUGUUCUUUAAUUGCAUGAUCCUGAGAUAAUUUUUCUUUUGAUCGCGACAUGAUACAUUUAAAAAAAAAAAAAAAAAAAAAAGUCCAUGUCUUCAGUGAACCAUUGUAUGGAGCAGUGUGUGGAGUAGUGGUUAGGGCUCUGGACUCUUGACCGGAGGGUUGUGGGUUCAAUCCCCAGUGGGGGACACAGCUGCUGUA
Molecule: long non-coding RNA, 6626 nt
Organism: Acipenser ruthenus (sterlet)
Lineage: Eukaryota; Metazoa; Chordata; Actinopteri; Acipenseriformes; Acipenseridae
Exons: 3
Source: RefSeq, a predicted model, not a curated record